This 102-nucleotide ribosomal RNA is filed under the name Klebsiella pneumoniae. The record is from RNAcentral. RNAcentral also lists the same sequence under 2 other names. Lineage: Bacteria; Pseudomonadati; Pseudomonadota; Gammaproteobacteria; Enterobacterales; Enterobacteriaceae.
GCGGUGGUCCCACCUGACCCCAUGCCGAACUCAGAAGUGAAACGCCGUAGCGCCGAUGGUAGUGUGGGGUCUCCCCAUGUGAGAGUAGGGAACUGCCAGGCA